This 1588-nucleotide ribosomal RNA is filed under the name metagenome. RNAcentral's name for it is "bacterial LSU rRNA". It matches the Rfam family "Bacterial large subunit ribosomal RNA", at positions 1299 to 2910 of the family's 2925-position model. The record is from RNAcentral.
GGAAUAAGUAACGAUAAGGAGGGUUAGAUUCCCUCCCGCUGUAAGACCAAGGUUUCCCGGGCAAUGCCAAUCAGCCCGGGGUCAGUCGGGUCCUAAGUCUAAGCCGAACGGCGAUGGCGAUGGCAGAGACGGUUAAUAUUCCGUCACUGCCGCAUGGAGCGACGUGGAGACGGAGCAGUGAAACCACCGCGGGGCGACGGAAGUCCCCGUUGAAGAGUGUAGGCGUUGAGGAUGGCAGGCAAAUCCACCGUCCGAGCUGAACUUGAUAGUAUGGAGUCUUCUUCGGAAGAAUCCAAUAGUGUGGGUAAUCAUACUCCCGAGAAAAUCCGCUAAGCUUAACCCAUGCGGCACCCGUACCGCAAACGGACACACGUGGUCGGGUAGAACAUACUGUGGCGUUGAGAGAUUCAUGGUUAAGGAACUAGGCAAAUUGACCCUGUAACUUCGGGAUAAAGGGUCCUCGUGAAGAGCGAGGCGCAGAGAAUAGGUCCAGGCAACUGUUUAACAAAAACACAGGGCUGUGCAAACUCGAAAGAUGACGUAUACAGCCUGACACCUGCCCGGUGCCGGAAGGUUAAGAGGAGAUGUCACACUUAUGUGGAAGCAUUGAAUUGAAGCCCCGGUAAACGGCGGCCGUAACAAUAACGGUCCUAAGGUAGCGAAAUUCCUUGUCGGGUAAGUUCCGACCUGCACGAAUGGUGUAAUGAUCCGGACGCUGUCUCAACCAUGAGCUCAGUGAAAUUGUAGUAUCGGUGAAGAUGCCGAUUACCCGCGAUGGGACGAAAAGACCCCGUGAACCUUUACUACAGCUUAGCAUUGACCUUGGUCAUCCGAUGUGUAGAAUAGGCCGGAGGCUUCGAAGCGGGAGCGCCAGCUUUCGUGGAGCCAUCCUUGAAAUACGGCCCUUUGGCUGUCUGAGGUCUAACGCGCGAUGCGCGGACACUGCUUGGUGGGUAGUUUGGCUGGGGUGGUCGCCUCCAAAAGCGUAACGGAGGCUUCCAAAGGUGCCCUCGGGUCGAUUGGUAACCGACCUCAAAGAGUGCAAUGGCAUAAGGGCGCUUGACUGGGAGGCAGACAUGCCGAGCAGGCAGGAAACUGGGGCAUAGUGAUCCGGCGGAUGUGUAUGGAAACUCCGUCGCUCAAAGGAUAAAAGGUACUCCGGGGAUAACAGGCUGAUCCCCCCCAAGAGCUCAUAUCGACGGGGUGGUUUGGCACCUCGAUGUCGGCUCGUCACAUCCUGGGGCUGGAGAAGGUCCCAAGGGUUGGGCUGUUCGCCCAUUAAAGUGGCACGCGGGCCGGGUUCAGAACGUCGUGAGACAGUUCGGUCUCUAUCUAUCGUGGGCGUGGGAGUUUUGCGUGGUGCCGUCACUAGUACGAGAGGACCGUGAUGGACAGACCUCCGGUUUACCAGUUGUGCCGCCAGGCGCACCGCUGGGUAUCUGAGUCUGGAUUGGAUAAGCGCUGAAAGCAUCUAAGUGCGAAGCCAGCCGCAAGAUGAGAACUCCAUUGAGGGUCGUCAGAGACGAUGACGUUGAUAGGAUGCAGGUGUAAAGACAGCGAUGUCAAAGCCGAGCAUUACUUAUUGCCC